UGGGGAAUAUUGCACAAUGGGCGAAAGCCUGAUGCAGCGACGCCGCGUGAGGGAUGACGGCCUUCGGGUUGUAAACCUCUUUCAGUAGGGACGAAGCGCAAGUGACGGUACCUACAGAAGAAGCACCGGCCAACUACGUGCCAGCAGCCGCGGUAAUACGUAGGGUGCGAGCGUUGUCCGGAUUUACUGGGCGUAAAGAGCUCGUAGGCGGUUUGUCACGUCGUCUGUGAAAACCCGAGGCUUAACCUCGGGCCUGCAGGCGAUACGGGCAGACUUGAGUACUGUAGGGGAGACUGGAAUUCCUGGUGUAGCGGUGGAAUGCGCAGCUAUCAGGAGGAACACCGGUGGCGAAGGCGGGUCUCUGGGCAGUAACUGACGCUGAGGAGCGAAAGCGUGGGUAGCGAACAGG
Molecule: ribosomal RNA, 409 nt
Filed under: Bacillota bacterium
Lineage: Bacteria; Bacillati; Bacillota
Description: Firmicutes bacterium partial 16S ribosomal RNA
Rfam family: Bacterial small subunit ribosomal RNA
Source: RNAcentral